CCUACGGGUGGCAGCAGUGGGGAAUAUUGCGCAAUGGGCGAAAGCCUGACGCAGCGACGCCGCGUGAGGGAUGAAGGUCUUCGGAUCGUAAACCUCUGUCAGCAGGGAAGAACGGUCACUGUGCUAAUCAGCAGUGAAUUGACGGUAUCUGCAAAGGAAGCAUCGGCUAAUUCCGUGCCAGCAGCUGCGGUAAUACGGAGGGUGCGAGCGUUAAUCGGAUUUACUGGGCGUAAAGCGCUCGUAGGCGGUAUGCCAAGUCAAGGGUGAAAUCCCCGCGCUAAACGUGGGAACUGCCUUUGAACCUGGCAAACUGAGGUGUGUGAGAGGAUGGUGAAAGUCCAGGUGUAGGGGUGAAAUCCGUAGAUAUCGGAGGAACAUCGGUGGCGAAGGCGGCUAUCUGGCGCAUAACUGACGCUGAGGAGCGAAGGCGUGGGUAGCGAACAGGAUUAGAUACCCGAGUAGUC
Molecule: ribosomal RNA, 464 nt
Filed under: uncultured bacterium
Lineage: Bacteria
Description: partial 16S ribosomal RNA
Rfam family: Bacterial small subunit ribosomal RNA
Source: RNAcentral